AAAGAAAUUCGGUGAAGGAUGGGCAUGCGUCGCAUUAGUUAGUUGGCGGUGUAACGGACCACCAAGACGACGAUGCGUAGGGGUUCUGAGAGGAAGGUCCCCCACACUGGUACUGAGACACGGACCAGACUCCUACGGGAGGCAGCAGUGAGGAAUAUUGGUCAAUGGCCGAGAGGCUGAACCAGCCAAGUCGCGUGAGGGAAGAAUGUCCUAUGGAUUGUAAACCUCUUUUGUCAGGGAGCAAAGUCACCCACGUGUGGGUGUUGGAGAGUACCUGAAGAAAAAGCGUCGGCUAACUCCGUGCCAGCAGCCGCGGUAAUACGGAGGAUGCGAGCGUUAUCCGGAUUUAUUGGGUUUAAAGGGUGCGUAGGCGGGUUAUCAAGUCAGCGGUAAAAUCGUGGAGCUCAACUCCAUCCAGCCGUUGAAACUGAUGAUCUUGAGUGGGCGAGAAGUAUGCGGAAUGCGUGGUGUAGCGGUGAAAUGCAUAGAUAUCACGCAGAACUCCGAUUGCGAAGGCAGCAUACCGGCGCCCGACUGACGCUGAAGCACGAAAGCGUGGGUAUCGAACAGGAUUAGAUACCCUGGUAGUCCACGCAGUAAACGAUGAAUACUAAUUGUGUGCUCCGAAUGAGGAGUGC
This 638-nucleotide ribosomal RNA is filed under the name uncultured bacterium. Its description in RNAcentral is "bacterial SSU rRNA". It matches the Rfam family "Bacterial small subunit ribosomal RNA", at positions 202 to 842 of the family's 1533-position model. The record is from RNAcentral.